This 5257-nucleotide long non-coding RNA is filed under the name Homo sapiens (human). Its description in RNAcentral is "testicular germ cell expressed HSF2 interacting lncRNA". The record is from RNAcentral. Lineage: Eukaryota; Metazoa; Chordata; Mammalia; Primates; Hominidae.
AGACUGCUGGUUUAAAAAAGAGAGGUCCAUCCAGCAGGGAUGAUGCUUUUCCUCGUUGAAAGAGGACAUUCACCUAAUGGGAGACCUGGAGUCAGAAUCUUUCUGAUGUGUGACUUGGCACAGUAACACAAUGCAGGAUGCUGGUGUGUUAAUAAAAAUAAAAAUUGCAUCGCCUACCUCAGAGUCGACAACAAUGUCAAGGAGUUAAUAGUCUUGGCAACACAGAGGCCACUGGACAGAGGCAUAACCUUGCGUGGCAGCUGCACGGGAAUUGGAUUUGGCUCAGGUGUUUCAGAUGACUAAGAACAAAGGGGACCACUCUUGGUAUAGAAGUUCAUCUCGUCGGGAGCAUCUGUGGUUCUUUUAUAAGCAAUGUACAUUCUACAAUAGAGGCAGACCCAGAAAUAAUUCAGAUAUUGGAGUUAGAAGAUCAGGAUUCUAAAAAAACCAAAAGAUCCUGCCUUACUAUGCACCUAUGGCCCUUCAAAGGCGAGAGUAGAAUCUGCUAUGAUUUAGAAGCAAGCAAUAAAAAGUACACAUCAGGUGAGUGGAUGCUAGCUAAGACCUUGGGCUUUGGGGUCAGACAGGCCUGGGUUUAAAUCCUGGCCCUGUCAUUCUGGGGAAACAUGUUUCUGCUUUCUCCUAUAUGAAAUAGAGGCAGUGGGUAUCCUGAACAUGUCACCUUUACUUGUCCAGCUUGUCAGUUAGGGUUUGGUUAGGGAAACAGAGCUGCUGUAAACAUUAUGGGAAUAAGGGAUUUUAUUCAGAAUUGGAGCCUGCACAGAUGUAGAAGGAGGCAUGAAGAGGGUAUUGGAGGAUUGCCCACUAUGCAGUCUGCAUCCUGAGUCUGUGGUGAGGCUGGACACGUUCAAGCUUACAGGAGAACUGGAGAAAGCAAGCAACACAGCGGUGGAAGUGAGACCACUGAAGGUAAGCUUGGGAGGGGGUCCCGACACCACCACAUCAGUGGAUCCACAGCUAAGUGAUUGGUGGUGGCCUGGGGUUCUGCUGUUUAGCAGGGACAAGAGUGGAGGAGACAAACUGGACUCGGAACAAACUGGGAGCCUCUGCAUCCAUCCGUAACUGUCUGGCCGUGACAGUGGUUAGAGAGGAGUGGCUUCUGUGAAACUCUCACAAUCUCAAAUCUCCCACAAGUGCCUCUUUCAGCUAACUCUAAACUGGUACCAUAGAGGAAAUGGAUUCUGAAAACUUGGUCUCCAACCUUAGACAAAUUGAAUAAUUAAUAUGUCCUCUCCUGCUUCUUCUGUAACUGAAUUUGCAUUGGGAAGCAGGCCUGUCACUCUCAGACUUUGUGGUUUGAGUAGGGCUCACUUCAGCACCACCUUUUCCUCUUCUCAGCCCCACGGACUGGCAUGAGACUCAGGCCUGGCCAACUGAAUGUCACACACCUAUGACCAUCAGUUGGCUCAGAGAUGGACUCAGGACACCAUCACAGCCAAUGAAACCCUGUUAGGGAAAUUUGUCAGAACCAUACAAAGAAAUAGCUCCACUUUUCCAUAGAGAUGAGACAUAAGCCUGGACUAACUGGUGUCCAAUUUGCCAUCAAGAGAGCAUCUGAGAAGACAGAGGAAAACUGGGGAAAGCGAAGUCUAAGGAAGGUGAGUAAGGACAAGUCCAGUUGAUAUUACAUGAAUCACCUGGACCUGGAAAUCAAGGCAUUGCUGGAUUCAAGGCCAAGAAAAAUUGGAAGCUGGCUUGAAUCAGGUUCUAUCACUUGCAGUUGAAAAGGUCCAGACUAAUAUGAUAACAAAGGAGCAAGUAAGCAAGAUUCUGCCCUACAGUAAGUGCUCAAUGCAUGUCAGCUGGUAUUAUUAUUAUACAGACUUCUAUUUCUAGCCCUUUUAUUUCUACCACCUCUCUUCUGUGUUUUAUGUAAAGUGCAUAAGGAUUGUUCUGUUUGGAAACAUCAAACCAUAUAAAAUGACACCAGCAGGUCCCUUUCUGUCUGUCAGUGUCCACAAGCUCAACAACCAGGAUCAGCAGACAAAAACAGCUAAGCUGGAGUCAGUGUUUUUAUGAAGAAACAGGAAAAGAACUUACUUGGGAACUGUAGCUCAUCCUCCAAUAUUCUCCAUCCUAUCACUCUUUUCAUGACAGUUUCUUCUUGGCCCUGAAGUUGCCUUGUCAUGGCUCCCUGCCUCUGUCCUUUCUCUGUCUCACUUACAUCUUCCAAUGAGGAAUACAGCAAGACCUUUGGAUGAGGACCUCCAAAGGUCCUCAGUAUCCUUAGGACACUCGGUGCAGAACUAGAGGGACUGAGAGGAGGAGCUUUUGCAGGUUAAAUGACUAGUGAAUGGCCUUUCCUUAUAUUUCCAUUAGAAAUGGGAUUAGCUACACCUGAGAAGGAAUGACUUUGGAACAACUGAUCCCUAGCUUUCCAAAAUAUGAGAAAUUGAGAUGCAGGGAGUAGUAAGCACCUAGUUAAUGAGUCAAAGCAUAUUUAUAAAGUUCACAGGGUACAUAGCAUAUAGCAGCUGUUCUCUAUCUCAGUUGAGUUUUGACUAGGAAAUGGGCUUAGGAUAAAACACAUAGGCUUUUGAGUAAUCAUUUGUAAGAAAUUGUAGAUAGUGACCACAGUUUAAUAGCAUUAGAUAAAUUAUGAAAAGUCACUGAAAUACCUUCUCUGGAAAAUGUUAGAAGCUCAAGUACAAUGGCUUAGUUAAAGGCAGGUGGGGGAGAAACUUGAAGAAUGUGGUCCAGUACAAGAAUACCCCAUUUUUCCCCUAAGGCAAUGAAAAUGACAUGAAGUAAUCAUAGUUAUUUAUACAGGAACAAUUUAGGAGACUUAGAAUAUUCACUUCUUUUGCCUUCUAGCUGAGCAUCAAAAUUCUCUCUCUGUCUCUGCCUCUCUCUCUCUAUUUUCCACUUCUAGCUCCAACUAUUUUAAAUCCCUCCCCCAAUAGAACUCAUAACAAACAUAAAACAACAUUUGUUGUAUGUUUACAAUAGAUGUUCAAGCUAAUAUUUAUGUAGGCUUAGCCCUGGCAUUAAAUUAAGGUUUGGUUCACCAACAGGGUGCCUAGAGACUUCACCUCUAUUUCCAUGAGGGACUGAACAGCCUCUUGAGAAGGGACUCAUCAAAAUGGAAGAGUUGGCAAUAAGAAGUUUGGCUAAAUAACCAAGCACUGAAGUUGCAGAGGAGAAAGGAUUUGAAAGGCAGUACAGUGUCCAGGGGCAAGUUGGCAAUUUUUAGCAGGAGGUGAAGUGAUGCCAGCAGAGGUAACAGUGCUCAGAGGGACCAGUAGUCCCCAGGAGGAGCAGGGGAAUCCCCAGUGGAUCUGAUUUGUUCAAGAGCACAUGUGAGAUUAUCAGCUGGCGUUACAAUUUUGGAGUGGCAGUGAGAAGCAGUGAAUUUGAGGUCACUCAAUUUGCAGACCCCAAAGGGUGAAAUGUUGAGAAACAUGAGUUACACAUGUAUUUAACAGCUCUUGUGUAUUAUCACAAAUCCUAUUUCACCUCUCAUGCCCCCGAGGCUUUGGUGUCCAGUUCUCUGAAGACUUCAUCAAUCCUCAGCCAUAAAUCACCUGAGAGCAACUCACCUUGCUUCAUACUAUGAAGCUCCCUGAUGUCACAGCAUGGCAGGCCUGUGGCAACCCCUCAACACUUAUGCAUGAUCCCAAACAGCUAGAGGAUUAACACCUACGGUGUAACCCUUGACCAGCAGGAAAUGGAAAUUACUGUCUUUUUGUCCCCGCAGGUGAAUGGUUCUAAAAUGCAUUUUAUAAGCCUUCUGAAAUAGUCCCACAGGUCAAGCACCUACUUGCUCCAGUGGUGACCAACUCAAUGAUGCAUCCUUGGGUUGACUCUCCCUCCUUUCCAGUUCACUUUCCCCGCCCCUCACUCCUGCACCUCAGCAUCACAUUCCUGAAUAAACCACUCACACAUCUGUCUUAUUUCAGACUCUGUUUGGGGGAAUCCACAAUAAAAAUUUGUCAUUUUGAGUUAAACAUUGCUCUCACCUUGAAGACAUAUUUCCAUACCUAGAGAUUUCUGAAGUUCUCUCCCUUUUCCUAUCAUCUCCUUUGUGCUUUGUCUGACCUCCAUGUUACAGAGCCCCAUGAUAUUUAGAGCCAGUACUGCUAGGGAAGUAGUUCAGUUGUGUUUUAAAUGGUUCAGCAACUUGUAACAUCAACUGAGAACCAGAGGAAUACACUUGGAGGCCAAGAAAAAAAUGUUAGCUAAUAUGUACCAUACAGUAUGAUUCCUUGGGUAAGGGAAAGUAUAUGCAAGUGACAGAGGAAAAUUGAAAGUUGUAGCCCUUUUUUGGACUUUAGAUUUGGAAUUAAAGUUUCUCUUCUCUUGAAAGACCUUCUUUUUGUGGAUAAUGAUGAAUCUGAAGACCAGAACAGUGGGCCAAUUUGCCUUAGUUGAGAGUGGCAAAUAAAUGAAGAACUGAAGAACGUAUCUCUUUAACUAGUGCUCCUUUGUUGAGAAGAUACAAAACAAACAAUUGAAGGGUAUGGAUGAAGCCAUUGGCUUAUUCAUGUCUCUGUUGAUCAUAAUGAGAUUAAUAUAUAUAGGACAUUCACACAAAGAGGAUAUUGACUCGAUGGCUUACAGAUUAUUAGAGUUAGAAAUGUGACCUACUACUAAAGGAAGAAUGUUUCAGGUGUGGAUCUCUGAUUUAAAAAAUACACCACACUUGCCUCAGUGAAGCAAGUCAACUUAGGUGCUGAUACAAUGCCACUGCAGCUGUGCUGAGUUCAUGAAAUCAGAUCCCACUCUCUUCACCUACCCCUACCGUAUUCAUCCUACUUUCCGUCUGCUCUGCCCUUCCCAUUUGGUAACCUAGUCAUGAAACACCUGGCUCUGGGUCCUUCCUUCAGCAUCACUCCACGUUGUACUGCUGGCAUCGCUUUUCUUGGCACAGAACCUCUUAGGGCUGCUAUCCUAGGAGUAGGUGCUACUCAGGCUGGCUUAGUCCCAGGCUUCACUCACUUCUUGGCCCAUGGCCAGGAGGACCGGAAAGAACAAACUCUCUGCACAUCUCUGCAGGUGGCCACAGAGCCCCCAUCUGAGCCUUGCUGAUGGAGAAGAGCAUGCUGCAUCACAAGAUAACUGUGUGGCUCUGUUCAAAAACCUUGUUUAGAAGUUAUUAUUUCUUUUAUUGCAUUAGAAUUUGCCUCACUGUAGCUUUUGUGCUUCUGUCCUGGUUCAGCCUUAGAUAGCAGUGCAGCCUGGUCCAUGUGAAAGCUCUUGCAAUAGGCCUUUCUGCUAGUCAGGAGUUCUCAGACCC